This 402-nucleotide ribosomal RNA is filed under the name uncultured bacterium. RNAcentral describes it as "bacterial SSU rRNA". It matches the Rfam family "Bacterial small subunit ribosomal RNA", at positions 224 to 625 of the family's 1533-position model. The record is from RNAcentral.
GAGGGGGCCAUGUCGUAUCAGCUAGUUGGUNGAGGUAACGGCUCACCAAGGCAAUGACGCGUAGCCGGUCUGAGAGGAUGGUCGGCCACACUGGGACUGAGACACUGCCCAGACUCCUACGGGAGGCUGCAGUCGAGAAUCUUUGUCAAUGGGCGCAAGCCUGAACGAGCGACGCCGCGUGUGGGAUGAAGGCCCUUGGGUUGUAAACCACUGUCAGGGGGUACGAAUAAGCGUGUAACCCACGCGAUGACUUAAACCCCGAAAGGAAGUGACGGCUAACUACGUGCCAGCAGCUGCGGUAAUACGUAGGUCACGAACGUUAUUCGGAAUCACUGGCUUAAAGGCGCGUAGGCGGCUUAACAAGUCAUGGUUGAAAUCCGACGGCUCACCCGUCGAACUGGC